GAUGAACGCUGGCGGCGUGCCUAAUACAUGCAAGUCGAGCGAACGGACGAGAAGCUUGCUUUUCUGAUGUUAGCGGCGGACGGAUGAGUAACACGUGGAUAACCUACCUAUAAGACUGGGAUAACUUCGGGAAACCGGAGCUAAUACCGGAUAAUAUUUUGAACCGCAUGGUUCAAAAGUGAAAGACGGUCUUGCUGUCACUUAUAGAUGGAUCCGCGCUGCAUUAGCUAGUUGGUAAGGUAACGGCUUACCAAGGCAACGAUGCAUAGCCGACCUGAGAGGGUGAUCGGCCACACUGGAACUGAGACACGGUCCAGACUCCUACGGGAGGCAGCAGUAGGGAAUCUUCCGCAAUGGGCGAAAGCCUGACGGAGCAACGCCGCGUGAGUGAUGAAGGUCUUCGGAUCGUAAAACUCUGUUAUUAGGGAAGAACAUAUGUGUAAGUAACUGAGCACAUCUUGACGGUACCUAAUCAGAAAGCCACGGCUAACUACGUG
RNAcentral lists this ribosomal RNA (497 nucleotides) under uncultured bacterium. RNAcentral's name for it is "partial 16S ribosomal RNA". It matches the Rfam family "Bacterial small subunit ribosomal RNA", at positions 28 to 507 of the family's 1533-position model. The record is from RNAcentral.